Molecule: long non-coding RNA, 2066 nt
Organism: Polyodon spathula (Mississippi paddlefish)
Lineage: Eukaryota; Metazoa; Chordata; Actinopteri; Acipenseriformes; Polyodontidae
Exons: 2
Source: RefSeq, a predicted model, not a curated record
GUGGCAGACCAGUUAGGUUCGCAAUAUUCUAAACCAACUAGUGUUGAUCAGCAAACUGACUGAAAGAUAUAUUGUGUACAGAGGAGCUUCUACAAGAGAGGAGAUGGCUAAUGUGUGCAGAGGGCUGUGUUUAUGGGGAUGGGAGUUUGCUGGUGUGUGCAGAGGGCUGUGUUUAUGGGGAUGGGAGUUUGCUGGUGUGUGCAGAGGGCUGUGUUUAUGGGGAUGGGAGUUUGCUGCUGUGUGCAGAGGGCUGUGUUUAUGGGGAUGGGAGUUUGCUGCUGUGUGCAGAGGGCUGUGUUUAUGGGGAUGGGAGUUUGCUGGUGUGUGCAGAGGGCUGUGUUUAUGGGGAUGGGAGUUUGCUGCUGUGUGCAGAGGGCUGUGUUUAUGGGGAUGGGAGUUUGCUGGUGUGUGCAGAGGGCUGUGUUUAUGUGGAAGAGAGGAGUUUGCUGAUGUGUGGAGAGGGGUGUGUUUAUGUGGAAGAGAGGAGUUUGUUGAUGUGUGGAGAGGGGUGUGUUUAUUCCUGUAGACCUCUAUACAGCUCUGCAGUGUUGAGUGGAGAUCUUUCUCUGUUUUGGGGAAAGGGGAGUGGUUUGAAGGAGAGGGAAGGAGACAGAGAUGAAGGAGGGGGAUAGGGUAUGUUCGAUAGAGAGUUUGGAGGUUAUGCAUGUAGAAGCAUUGAAGGCAGUGUGACGCUGCAGUAUUUAUAAUAUUGCUAUUUGAAUUCCCACCAACAGAUGGCAGGAGAUAUUGCUGAGGAUACAGUCUGCCUCUUGGAAACCAAACACGUGACACAUUCCUUACAUACAGAUUUACCAAACACUGGCGCACACAGAUUAAAACGAGGGCAGCACUAAGACUCUUCACUGAUUGGUCGUGUCCCGUCCCCCCGUCCCCCCCACCACCUUAUCUACAUUCCGCACGGCAUCACAAACUUGGAAGCAGCUUUUCAGCUCCAAGAUUUGUGUUCGUGUGAAGGAACCGAUAGAAUUAAUAUUCUCCAUUGGAACCUCAAAGCGCUGUGCGCGUUUAAGCCUCGCCUGGUGCUGGGUGUGCUGGUAAUGUGUUUGUAAGCGCAGUGGGGUGCCUGUAAUCACGGCGAGAGCAGAGUUUCUCUUUCCCUGCCCUGUCGGUCUCCAUGCUGGGGCAGGGAGUCCAGUGUUGUCACAGUAAGCGUGUCCCAAUGGAUGUCUUGUUCUGGUUUAUUUGUCAUGUCAGCCACCAACACAUUCCUGAUGGUCUUCUACAAGCAGAGCAGCACAGCACACACACAGGGAGCUGUAGUUAAUCAUGAAAUCGAUUUAUUUGAUUUAAAAAAAAAACAAAAAACGUUCAGGUUCAUUUCCAGCCACCGUGACAACACGGCGCCUUCAUAUAGGAACACUCACACAGGUACAGAGUCAAAACACACGCAAAAGAGGGUCGUUAAAAACACUGUCAGCAGCGCACGCCGACCACACUUCCAAACGGGUUACUGCAGAGUUUAAUUAAAUACCGUGCUUUGAAAGGAGAAAGACAGCAAAUGCCUUUCCAGGACUGGAAUGAAACACGCAUUCGUGCAAUCGGAGAUCUCGCGUUCGCAACUCUGCUGUUGCAUUUAGGAGCUCAUUAAAGGGCUGCACUAAACGCUUUUGAUAAUCUGGCCCCGCGGUGUGAUUCCAAAGUCAAACAUCUUCCAUUUACACAAAACUAACCCUGAAAACCGCUGGAUAGGAUUCCAGUGACAAACUGCAAACAGGAUCUCAGCCAGCAGGGGGCGCUGUGUUGCGCCUACAAUGCUUCCCCGCUGCUGAUGCACGCUGCUAAAAACAAUGAAGUCAAUUCCUGAAUUAGUUAAUUAAAUAUUUAUUUAUUUGUGUAUUUAUUUAUUUUUUUACUAUGAAUACAUUCCUGUGCUUAGGAGAGAGGACAGAAGUUCAGAAAUAGAUUAUCGCUUUACAGCAUAAAGGUGUUUGUUUUCUAUGAUGUGAGUUUAUUUUGUUUUCAUUAAAGUUUUUUUUUUUUUUUAAUUAUUUUUAGUCAAGGUCUUUUGCAAGGCCAGGCAGUGAACCCUGGUCAGCUCUGGUACU